RNAcentral lists this small RNA (27 nucleotides) under Bombyx mori (domestic silkworm). RNAcentral's name for it is "ovarian small RNA-22666". The record is from RNAcentral. Lineage: Eukaryota; Metazoa; Arthropoda; Insecta; Lepidoptera; Bombycidae.
UAGGAGUUAUACCCCCUGCGCUUUACC